AUAACUCUACAGUUCACGUGAUGAGUCAGCACACGGGGCGAGCCAACACCUUUCUUACGGGAGCAUGACAAAAGAACGUGGAUGUGGUAGCCGUCCAGGCAAGACGGAAGCGUUCAGUCGGCACCCACCUGCUUACGCAGGUUCGUACCCACUGAUUCACACGGUCCUGUAGAGUUUGA
This 179-nucleotide non-coding RNA is filed under the name Chloroflexota bacterium. Its description in RNAcentral is "Chloroflexi bacterium (mine drainage metagenome) 6S RNA". It matches the Rfam family "6S / SsrS RNA". From Rfam's summary of the family: E. coli 6S RNA was the first non coding RNA to be sequenced, but its function was unknown until recently. It consists of 184 nucleotides that fold into an extended hairpin structure with a large single-stranded internal bulge. Lineage: Bacteria; Bacillati; Chloroflexota. The record is from RNAcentral.